UCCUGAACAGAUGGUGGUUUGACAACCGCCAUAUUCACUGCCCACAGAGUUCACACUAUUGUGUUGCAAGUGACUAAGUGUGCAAGGGCUCUCAUUGCCUCUUAUAGGUAAGGGCGUACCAAAGAGGGUGGCCUGGAUGUUCAUUAUUGAGCUUAGUGUCCCAUGUGUUGCCGUCUCACCUUUGCGGGAUGACAUUUAUCUUUUGGAGUCCUUGCAGAAUUGAAUCUCUGCUAAUUUUUAAUAGCAGGACGGGAACAACAAGAGAACCCAGGGAGUAGUUCCUUCACUCACUUGGGGGGGGGGGUUCAGCCCAGUGUAAUAAUAUGAGGAGCAUUAUCUAGCUUUUUCUCAGUCGCCACAGAACUGUCAGAGAGCAGUUCCCAUGCUUGGAUUGGCUGGCAUCUUUCCAGCCCAUCUUGCCUUGGCUGAAAGAACUUCUGCAGUGGUGGGGCCAAUCGUGUUGCUAUCACCUGUGGCUGUUCAGGACAUGCUUUGCCCUGCAAGCUUCUUGGGGCUCAUAGCAUCGUCAGCUCUUUCUCUCUAAGCUCCUCCUCCUGCUGCCUCUCUUGCUUUCUGUCCUCAACCUCGGUGAUACCAUCAGGUAAGGCUUAGGGAAGAAAGUCUUGAGCCCCACUCAAAAGCAUGAGCAGUAGCUCCAGCACCACCAAUGCAGCAGGCUUCACAUGUUACCAUCUAAAGAUGGUACGCCCAGAGCCUGGCUGGACUACGACCCAGUUUGAAAGAGGAAGGCUGCUUUAAUGCACCAGUAUUGGGCAGUCCAGGCCAUUUUCCAGCCCUCAUUCCAGCAGCUCCUGCUUUGCAUUAUGCUUUCUCUGCGGGAAGCCACAGCCCUUGUGGGUCACCGUAAUGACUGUGCCACUGCAGCAAAAAAGAUAAUAUGGAGGAGACUGCAGCGGCUGGAAUGACCCCACUCCAAAGGCUGUGCCUCUCUGUAGCAGAAACAUGAUGUGAAGCAAGCUGCAGGCUAUAUAGCUUUUAGAACAAUAGUCUUCAGUGACUAAUCUUGAUUGACAGCUGUGGUGAAGUGGCGGCAUCAGGGGAGGCAGUCCAUUGCUCAAGGCUGGUGAGCAUCAGAUGCUGGGAGGCCAGAGCUUGGUUCAGUGAUGGAACUGGCAAGCAUCUGGCUGUACCACUCUCCUUCCAAGUACAUGUAGGCCUCAAACCUUAGAUAACUACACUGGGUGAGUGCUGGGCUCCCAGGUAGGCUUAGGCCCUUUCAUUCCAUGUAUUUAGAGUCAGAGUUAAUGAUACUAAGUGAUAGCUUGGCAUGGUCUCUGUUUUAUUUUUAUAUAAUGAUGAUUUGUUUUUCCCCAAAGUAUGGUCUUGCCAGGUUGAGAGAUGAAUGAGAACAGAAAAUAGCUAUAUUAGAGAGGGCUGCUAAAACCUGCUGUCAAUGGAUUCAGUCCCAUGGCAAGUUGCAGGAGCAUUAUUAGAUCAGUUCUGAUGAACACAAAGGUUUCUCCCAUUUGUAGUUUAAGCUUGGCCCGCUGCCUGAUUACAACACUGCCAGCUCUGCUGAAGACAUGUUCAUAUGCACAAUCCUAAUCUUUACUUUUGCCACUGACUUCUGGGAAACGCUAGGAACAUUUCUCCAGGGAGUCUGCCAGCAUGCUGAGAUAGUUAAAACUGUAUCUGUCCAAUUAGAGCUCAAUUGAAAAUAAGCCGGUGGCUACUUGGUUUAAUAGUGGGGGAUACGCAGACACAGAAAUUUUAUUUCUUAAUUUACUAUGCAAAUGAGAAAAUACAUUUGAAGUAACAAAUGUUGCCUCGAAGCAGUGUGGCGGAGCACAAACAAAGCUCUGGGCUUGUAUAUAAUUUGCACUCAGUGCCAGCUGCAUUGCAUGACAAAACCUUCGGAUUUUCCGUUGCCUUCCGGCUGCUUUGUUUGUUCAAAACCUAUUUUACAUUGUAGAUUUAUUUAUGGAAAUCAUUUUCACCCACUGUCCUAUUGAUAAACCCUUACCUUUAACAAUCAUUCAGUUCCCACAGCCAUGCAUUCCUUAAACAGAAUUUUGUAUCACGUUCGCUGCAGAAGCAAGAUGGCAUAAGGAGGCUUAAUACAUUUAUUUAUGUUUCUUCCCCGAGGGCUUGAAACGUGUCCUAAUUUUAUUAUUGCAAUAGAUGUCUAAGGUAGGCUGAUAUGAGAGUUAGUGAUUCUCUAAGUCAGUCCUGCCCAACUGAUGCCCUUUUGGACUACAACCCCAAUAACUGUAACUCACAAGGUCCGGAGGGCACCAGAUAUUCUAAAGCGAGUUUGGCACCUAGCAGAGAUUUCAGCUUGGAUCUUCCACAUACAAACCCAGCACUCAACAGCGAUAAUAAUUUGAGCAGCAAUUAGCUGCACUCUGCCAGUAUAUUUUUGUCCCGCUCCUCGUUCACUCCUUGGAAGGGAGCAUGUAAAACAAUAAGUGUUGGCUUGCUUCUGCCUUCUGAAAUCCAGCACAAGUGUCAACCAUCAUUUGAAGCAUUUGUCUACAUUUCCAAAGAUUUGGGGAAUUAGAUUUGUCCACAAUCUUUCUGCACCCAGAGCUUCAGCCCUUGCUGGCCACUGUCCCGUAGCUGACUAAGCUGGCUAUAGUGUGAGACCACAGAGCCUAGGGCUUGCUGAUCAGAAGGUUGGCGGUUCAAAUCCCCGCAAUGGGGUGAGCUCCCGUUGCUCGGUCCCUGCUCCUGCCAACCUAGCAGUUCGAAAGCACGUCAAAGUGCAAGUAGAUAAAUAGGUACUGCUCCGGCAGGAAGGUAAACGGCGUUUCCAUGAGCUGCUCUGGUUUGCCAUAAGUGGCUUAGUCAUUCUGGCCACAUGACCCGGAAGCUGCACACUGGCUCCCUCGGCCAAUAAAGCAAGAUGAGCGCCGCAACCCCAGAGUAAUCCGCGACUGGACCUAAUGGUCAGGGGUCCCUUUAUCUAUUGUCCCUUAUGCAAAUGGCAGAUUUCCUGCUGUUACUACUGAAGUACUCUUUAGAAAAAGCUACUAAUUUUUUUAUGGUAAUUUCCAAAACUUCAGAUGUUUAUUAUAGUCCUAAGCCAGGAUGGUGGGCUGAUGCCAUGAUGUGUGCUCUCUGAGCCACACAGAAAGUAAAGAGCCUUGUGGCUUCUUAAUGCCUAAUACAUUUAUUCUGCUUAUAUGCUCUCCUGGACUAAAAUCCACUGUCAGAUGCAUGAAGCCUUAUCCUCAAUAGCAAGUAUAAAUUUACCUGGGGCUUUCUUGGGCGGGGAGAGGAGGAUAUAAGAAGACGCCUUCACCCCGGUAUGGCUCCCCGUUAUCACAUACACAGCCCAACAGGACAAUGACAAUAAUCCACCAACAGCAUACAAAUCAAUAUGGCUAACCUGAUCCAAAACACCCACCCACCUCACUCACACACGAAAACAAACAUCACCACAGCCAAUCACAAGCAAACAAUCACACCCUAGGCCAACCCCAACCUCUCUCACCACCAAAGGAACACAAGUGAACAACACAAGCAAUGCUGACACCAAACUCUACAUACAUUAAACAUAAUAGAAACACCGCCACCCGACCCCACCCCCAUGCAUCUUCCCUCUCUCCACCCCCCCUUUCUUUUUUCUUUUCUUUUUUUCUUCUCCCCCUAAUGCCUCAACAAAUGAAACGAAUUUGUAAAAAUGUUACAUGAAAAAAAAAAUACGAGGCACUACACUUCUGUAAAACAAGAAAAUCCUU
Molecule: non-coding RNA, 3704 nt
Organism: Podarcis lilfordi (Lilford's wall lizard)
Lineage: Eukaryota; Metazoa; Chordata; Lepidosauria; Squamata; Lacertidae
Source: the annotation of a GenBank genome assembly